AAGUCGUAACAAGGUUUCCGUAGGUGAACCUGCGGAAGGAUCAUUCAAGGAUUUAAAAAUCAUACCAAAAGGGAUAUUCUGUGUAGCUAUCGUAAUUUAUUAUGGCAGUGAAGGAGUUCCCGAAACCAAAAAAUUUACACCUAAAUAAAGCAUUAAAGAUGGCUCUCACUACUGGGAUGCUACUGGGGUCACUUUAUGUGUCGUAGUGGUGUUCUUGUUAGUAAGAGUUGUUUUAAAUAAUUGGCUGAUGAGCAGUAAAGGGGAAUACAAUUGUAUGACUCUUUAGUGAUGUGAUUUAUA
This 300-nucleotide unclassified non-coding RNA is filed under the name Phylloporus sp. Its description in RNAcentral is "partial contains small subunit ribosomal RNA and internal transcribed spacer 1". The stretch from base 1 to 46 matches the Rfam family "Eukaryotic small subunit ribosomal RNA", at positions 1786 to 1831 of the family's 1831-position model. Lineage: Eukaryota; Fungi; Basidiomycota; Agaricomycetes; Boletales; Boletaceae. The record is from RNAcentral.